Molecule: transfer RNA, 87 nt
Filed under: Desulfomonile tiedjei
Lineage: Bacteria; Pseudomonadati; Thermodesulfobacteriota; Desulfomonilia; Desulfomonilales; Desulfomonilaceae
Also listed under: 6 other names
Description: tRNA-Leu
Rfam family: tRNA
About the family: Transfer RNA (tRNA) molecules are approximately 80 nucleotides in length. Their secondary structure includes four short double-helical elements and three loops (D, anti-codon, and T loops).
Source: RNAcentral
GCCGAAGUGGCGGAAGUGGUAGACGCGCCAGGUUCAGGGUCUGGUGGGCGCAAGCCUGUAGGAGUUCGAGUCUCCUCUUCGGCACCA